UUCGAACCGCUCUGUGGGGUCGAGCGAGUUCCUCAGCAAAGUGUGAACGUGAACUUCUUUUUCUUUUUCGCCAGGUUUCAUUCGAUUUGUUGUGGAUUGGAUGAUGGAAAAACCAGCAAGCCGCUUGACCUUUCAUACGAGGUCAAGGGUCAAAGAAUUUGAGUUGUGAAAAGGUUGGAAGAUUUGGCCAAAGAAGGUGAUAGCCCUAUAGAUUCGUUUCAAUGGUUCGAUCCUUUCCAGUUAAACACGGCAUGUUCCAAUUCUAAUCACUUUUACGUGAGAAAGGGGGACCACCCUCUAAGCCUAAGUAUUCCUCAAUGACUGAUAGCGUACAAGUACCGUGAGGGAAAGGUGAAAAGAACCCUAUUUAGGGAGUGCAAUAAAGAACCUGAGAUCUGAUGCUUUCAAUCAGUCGAAGGAGCGGCAAGCCUUGACUUGAGAUUCUCUUAGUCAAGCUAUCUCACUCUAACGGUACCUUUUGCUUGACGGGUCAGUGAGAAAAUGGGAACUACAGCUUAAGCCAUUAGGUGU
Molecule: non-coding RNA, 531 nt
Filed under: Cucumis melo (muskmelon)
Lineage: Eukaryota; Viridiplantae; Streptophyta; Magnoliopsida; Cucurbitales; Cucurbitaceae
Description: Bacterial large subunit ribosomal RNA
Rfam family: Bacterial large subunit ribosomal RNA
Source: Rfam by way of RNAcentral